Molecule: small nuclear RNA, 102 nt
Filed under: Nicotiana sylvestris (wood tobacco)
Lineage: Eukaryota; Viridiplantae; Streptophyta; Magnoliopsida; Solanales; Solanaceae
Also listed under: 1 other name
Source: RNAcentral
GUUCCUUCCGGGACAUCCGAUAAAAUUGGAACGAAAUAGGAAAGAUUAGCAUAGCCCCUGCGCAGGACGACACACACAAAUUGAGAAAUGGUCCAAAUUUUU